This is an RNA transcript of Anopheles coustani, 2106 nucleotides long. It is a transcript of the gene named lachesin-like, with no coding region annotated. The record is from RefSeq and is a predicted model, not a curated record. NCBI's taxonomy places the organism in Eukaryota, Metazoa, Arthropoda, Insecta, Diptera, Culicidae. The transcript has 5 exons.
UGCGCAUCGGAUUCGUCGACGUUUCGUUUCCGUGAAGAUUCUGCGUGUGUAUGUGUGUGUUUGUGUGCACCCGAGCUGAAGUGGUGUGUGAUUAUCGCAAGGAUUUUUUGCGAGUAUUUUUUGGCUCAUUUGAUUACCUUAUCGGACGGAGCUUGUAAACCUGAGAACCUGAGUGGAAACAGAGUCGUGUGAACAUUUUCCACGGUAGAGGACGUUUUUCAUCUCAAACACGACCCCCUAGAGGAGGGUAGUGAGGAUAAGCAAAAGGAUAGCACACGCAUACUACGCCUGAAGGAUGUGGCUGCGGUUGAGUUUCCCUUUAAUUACGCUACUUAGCGUGGUGACGCUGUCAUCAGCGCAGCAGGCGUCCGGUCCGAACAUCGUGUUUAUCAGCCCGGAGCAGAUCAAAGACAUCGGCGAGCAGGUGACGCUCAACUGUUCGAUCGCGAACGUGAAGAACUACAUCGUCGGCUGGCAGAAGAGCAACCGGGAUCGGACGAAGGAGAGCAACAUCAUCUCGCUCGGUACGCAGCUCGCCGUCACCGAGGAUCGGUUCCAGCUGAACUUCACCAAGGAGAACAACUCCGCCAACUACGUGCUGGAGAUCAAAGACAUCGUCAACACGGACGCCGGACUGUACGAGUGUCAGAUUCUGGUGAACAGCACGAGCAAGAUCACCAAGACGGUCGAGCUGCAGGUGCGCCAUCCACCGAUGCUGCUCGAGAACCAGCACACCAACACGCUCACCAAGGCGGAGGGCGAAGACGCGCAGCUGGUGUGCCGGGCCGAAGGCUACCCGCGACCCUCGAUCUCCUGGAAGCGCGAGUACAACGCCAUCCUGCCCAUCGGAGGCCAGACAUUCGUCGGCAACGAGCUGCGCCUAAAUGCCCUCCGUCGGGAGGAUCGCGGCACGUACUACUGCACGGCGGACAACGGUGUCGGCAGGCCGGAUACGAAAACGAUCACGCUGGAGGUGGAGUUCGCCCCGGUCAUCUCCGUACCGCGGCCGAAGGUGGCCCAGGCGCUGGACUACGACAUCGAUGUGGAGUGCGUGGUGCAGGCGUUCCCGGCGCCGGCCAUCUCGUGGUUCCGCAACGACAAGCAGAUCCACAAUGGCGGCUCGUACAGCAUCUCGCACACCGGAUCGCCGGACGAUGUGACGACGUCGGUGGUGAAGAUCCACUCGGUUGCAUCGGAACACUUCGGAGACUAUGUGUGCAAGGCAUCGAAUAAGGUUGGGCAGGCGGAGGCCCGAUUGAAUCUGUUCGAAUCCGUUAUUCCCGUUACCUUGUGAGUGUUUGUUGUGUAGGUCCACCACCCUGCCGCAGAACGUCACACCUCACCUUCAUACCAACGGCGAAACCGAGACCGGGUUGAGCCACUUUUUUGUUAAGUUUUGUGUAGCAAGAUGUACCGAACAUCAACUAUUCGGGCCUGAAGUGGUCCAACGGUGGGUCCUCGACGAAGCAAGUCCUGGUCGGCCAUCUGUUCAUCAUUGCGUUAACGCUCCUGCUGGCCACGCUCUUGUGAAUGCGUCGCCGAAGAACGGAAGAACCGCACCGGGUCGAUGCCUGGCGCCACGCGUGCUUCCUCGGAUCCCUUGCGUCGACCGUUCGAACGCGAUGUUCGUAGAGCCGGUAGAUUUAGACACCUGCUUCCGUACUCCCUACCACGACCCUCAUCAUCCACCCAGAUGCAUUGGUGGCAAGUAACAGAAAGUGCAAAACGCCGCGAAACCUUAUCCGCGCAUUUCCGGACGAAGAAACAUUAUGCUAAGAGUGAUUUUAGUACUGCAUUUAUCAAACGGAGACGAACGAGUCUGAGAACUAUGGUACAAUUUAUGAGAGACAGCCAAACAAAAACAAACCGUACACAAAAAUACACGACCGACCAAGUUAGCUAGAUAGUAUUACGGAUAGGAAUGGCGGUUUAUUUUUUGUCGCAUUUUUUACCGCAUUGCACGCUAUCUUACGACGUGGGGAGUGUGUGUGACUUUAUUAUUUUUAAAUAUUUGUGCAUAAGGAGCAAGAUUUUCGGAAUGACGAUACUAGGCAAAUAAUAGUAUAGGCGAAACGAAAUUCUAAAAAUAAACGUUUAUCCACAGUA